Molecule: ribosomal RNA, 556 nt
Filed under: Bifidobacterium longum subsp. suillum
Lineage: Bacteria; Bacillati; Actinomycetota; Actinomycetes; Bifidobacteriales; Bifidobacteriaceae
Description: bacterial SSU rRNA
Rfam family: Bacterial small subunit ribosomal RNA
Source: RNAcentral
CUCUCCUGGAAACGGGUGGUAAUGCCGGAUGCUCCAGUUGAUCGCAUGGUCUUCUGGGAAAGCUUUCGCGGUAUGGGAUGGGGUCGCGUCCUAUCAGCUUGACGGCGGGGUAACGGCCCACCGUGGCUUCGACGGGUAGCCGGCCUGAGAGGGCGACCGGCCACAUUGGGACUGAGAUACGGCCCAGACUCCUACGGGAGGCAGCAGUGGGGAAUAUUGCACAAUGGGCGCAAGCCUGAUGCAGCGACGCCGCGUGAGGGAUGGAGGCCUUCGGGUUGUAAACCUCUUUUAUCGGGGAGCAAGCGAGAGUGAGUUUACCCGUUGAAUAAGCACCGGCUAACUACGUGCCAGCAGCCGCGGUAAUACGUAGGGUGCAAGCGUUAUCCGGAAUUAUUGGGCGUAAAGGGCUCGUAGGCGGUUCGUCGCGUCCGGUGUGAAAGUCCAUCGCUUAACGGUGGAUCCGCGCCGGGUACGGGCGGGCUUGAGUGCGGUAGGGGAGACUGGAAUUCCCGGUGUAACGGUGGAAUGUGUAGAUAUCGGGAAGAACACCACGCCC